UUAAUUUACUUGGGGCGCUUCCCUUACAAGGAAGAAGUCACAGGUUCAAAUCCUGUAGCGCCCA
RNAcentral lists this transfer RNA (64 nucleotides) under Acidimicrobiia bacterium. RNAcentral describes it as "tRNA-OTHER". It matches the Rfam family "tRNA", at positions 12 to 71 of the family's 71-position model. From Rfam's summary of the family: Transfer RNA (tRNA) molecules are approximately 80 nucleotides in length. Their secondary structure includes four short double-helical elements and three loops (D, anti-codon, and T loops). Further hydrogen bonds mediate the characteristic L-shaped molecular structure. tRNAs have two regions of fundamental functional importance: the anti-codon, which is responsible for specific mRNA codon recognition, and the 3' end, to which the tRNAs corresponding amino acid is attached (by aminoacyl-tRNA synthetases). tRNAs cope with the degeneracy of the genetic code in two manners: having more than one tRNA (with a specific anti-codon) for a particular amino acid; and 'wobble' base-pairing, i.e. permitting non-standard base-pairing at the 3rd anti-codon position. The record is from RNAcentral. Lineage: Bacteria; Bacillati; Actinomycetota; Acidimicrobiia.